UUUUGAAAUAUGCUGCUAUAUUUUGUGUGCACAAUUACUAGUUUUCAGACAUCUAUAGCGAGGACGUCCGUGUGGUCGCAUUAUUGAUGAAUGCAUGAAAUGCUUUGCGAUAUAAUUCUGCUCUCUCCUUUGAGUUAUAAGCUGUGUGUUUUUUAUGAAGGGCAGGUUUUUUAAUGACUUGAUAUGGAAGCUAACAUUGAUAUCGACUUCUGACUGAUGGCACGUCAGCAAAAUUUCAUGGCGUGGAAUUUUUUCUUUUUUCUUUUUGCGAAUGUGUUAACGUAUGGAUGAACUAAAUAUAGGAGAGCGUUUGAUGAUGGCGGAUUGGGUUUCAUCCUGCUCACACACACACACACACACACACACACACACCCUGCAUGAUAAAGGUGACCUGAUGGCUUUGAUUUCAGCAGAUUGAUUGAACCAGGAAGAGACAGAGACGGCGAGAGGUCAGCGUUCCCAGACCAUACCAGACCUGCUGACUAUACUGUAAAAAAUUUCCGUAAAAAUACGGUACAAUGUACCAUAUAAAUGUGAAGGAUUUUUUUUCCGUAUUUGUCUUUUACGCCUUUUACGGGUCUUUUACCCUUAUUUUGAAUUACGCGUUGCAUUGUGGGAACAAGAUCCCGGCAGCGCGAAAAGUUUAAGACGCAUCCGCCAUUACACACACGCUGAUGACCGCGGGCAAAGUUGCUUUUUAGAGCCGGAUUUCGGGUGUGUGGAAGCCAUUCUGACACUUAUGUGGUAAAACUUAAACUUAAAAACGAAAAUUAUGUUUUGCUUGAUGUCAAAAAGCUGUUAACGUAACGUUAUUUUUAGUUACCAUCUGGCAUUAGGCAAAUGAAUGUCGGAGCCGUCACGUUUAUCAUUUUAUGCAUAUCGUCACACAUUGAAAGAUUUAGUUAAGACUCGUGGAGGUUCUCGAUUGUAGUGUCCUUGUUGUUGUUGUUGUAAUGGGCUUAUUUAGUUUUAUUUGUCGUGAUGCGGUUUAUUUCUUGCCGAGCGAAUCCGUUAGCAGCUAACCAGUUGUGAUAGUUCUAACGUUAGCUAGCUGCUAGUGUUUAGAGCAAUUUAAUGCCUUCAAACAAAAGCAACCAGAGGAAUCGUCAAGAAAAGUAAACGCCAUUGACUUGCUUGAUUUGAAAGGCAUGAAGACACAACGUGUAUUUUGUAUUCAGACUGUGUGUGAAUAUGCAGUAACUUAACCGGUACAGCUGGAUCAACCAGCACCUUUUCUGCAAAAUGAGGACUUUUCUGCUGUAGUUUAUAUCCCAAACACCACCUGCAUGCGUCUUAUGGGGUUGCUGUCAUUCAAGAAGUUAUUGACCACAUCUCCUAUUGAGGCAGUAAGAUGCAAAAUACCUGAAGAAAAUGGCACUUAUCCUGGAGUUCAUAUAAAGAAAUCUGGAACGAAGGUUGAAAAGGCUGAGAUGAAGGAAAUGUCCCCAUUCCUCCAAAACUGCUGAAGUUCCUGUAUGAACAACUUCGAAAAACCAGCUGGCAUCUUGGGGAGGACGACCUCGCAUCCAGUAUGCUGCUGUGGGUGACGCAGGAUUUCGAACUCAUUCGAUCACUUGUCUCUAUGCUUUUCGAACUGUGGCGACUAAUCGUGCCUUGCUGUGGGUCAAGCUGCUGGAUCUUCAGAUCUUCUUCGAUUUGCUUAAUCCAUCCUUUUUUUGGGUGCAGUGCGCUGGAUUCUCCACUGGGUUAGACGUUUCCUCCAGAGGACUUGUGUGGUAUUCAAUUUGCAUCCAUUCUGCACGUGUCCAAACAUUUCACUCUAUUGACUAGAAGUCUUAAGCAAUUUUUAAGGAUAAAAGCAGAAGCCUUAUCUUCAUUCCAUUUUGUUUGUUUCUGUAUUGUAUCGUAUUCUAUUAGUAUUGCAUUUGAAAAUGUUUUGAAUCUUGACUUUCACAGUUUAUGAAGUUUUUUUUUUUCUCUCAUUUUUUAAAAAUAAUUUUGUGAGCUAUUUGGUUCAACACCAAUGCAAGUACCUGCUCAUGUUUUCUUUUUCUUUUUUUCAUUUCUCCCAUGUUUGUAUUUUGGAAAAGUUAAGACAUUAAACAAGCACUUUAUGGUGCUUUGCACAUUGUUAAAUUGUGUGUGUGUGUGUGUGUGUCUGUAUAUAUCGAUCUUUACCCAUUGAAUGCGUUUUAAGAAUGUUUACAUGAAAUUUUUACAAAAAUAAAACAUGUUCAAUAUGUAUAUAUUGUUCUUGAAUUAUUUGCUACCAAAAUAUAUGCUAUAAAAAUAGAAAUUUCUGUAUAAGGAUUAUCCGUGAAUAGUACAGAAAAUACGGAAUUUUCCAUUUUAGGUUUGACGGAAAUGUCCGUCAAUG
This is a non-coding RNA of Pimephales promelas (fathead minnow), 2338 nucleotides long. NCBI's taxonomy places the organism in Eukaryota, Metazoa, Chordata, Actinopteri, Cypriniformes, Leuciscidae. The record is from RefSeq and is a predicted model, not a curated record.